UCCGAUAUGGUGUAGUGGCUAACAUCAUCGCCUCUCACGCGAUAGCCCGGGGUUCGAUUCCCCGUGUCGGAA
RNAcentral lists this transfer RNA (72 nucleotides) under Trametes versicolor FP-101664 SS1. It matches the Rfam family "tRNA". From Rfam's summary of the family: Transfer RNA (tRNA) molecules are approximately 80 nucleotides in length. Their secondary structure includes four short double-helical elements and three loops (D, anti-codon, and T loops). The record is from Rfam by way of RNAcentral. Lineage: Eukaryota; Fungi; Basidiomycota; Agaricomycetes; Polyporales; Polyporaceae.